This 169-nucleotide ribozyme is filed under the name Anopheles gambiae (African malaria mosquito). RNAcentral describes it as "drz-agam-2-2 ribozyme". It matches the Rfam family "drz-agam-2-2 ribozyme", at positions 23 to 183 of the family's 191-position model. The record is from Rfam by way of RNAcentral. Lineage: Eukaryota; Metazoa; Arthropoda; Insecta; Diptera; Culicidae.
GGGCCGGACUUUGCCGAUCGCUGCUCUAGAAGGUUAACAUAGGCUCUCCACCUCCUACUCCUAUUCAAUACGUCCCCGUCGUACAGAACGGUAACAUGUCUCUCAAUUAUCCACGCUUGGGUAUACGGGGAAACCCAACCCCUUGGGCGGAUGGGUUGCAUGGCUAAAU